RNAcentral lists this ribosomal RNA (597 nucleotides) under uncultured bacterium. RNAcentral describes it as "bacterial SSU rRNA". It matches the Rfam family "Bacterial small subunit ribosomal RNA", at positions 75 to 688 of the family's 1533-position model. The record is from RNAcentral.
CGGAAGCAUUUGAAGUGACUUAGUGGCGGACGGGUGAGUAACGCGUGGGUAACCUGCCCUGUACUGGGGGACAACAGUUGGAAACGGCUGCUAAUACCGCAUAAGCGCACAGCAUCGCAUGGUGCAGUGUGAAAAACUCCGGUGGUACAGGAUGGACCCGCGUCUGAUUAGCUAGUUGGUGGGGUAACGGCCUACCAAGGCGACGAUCAGUAGCCGGCCUGAGAGGGUGAACGGCCACAUUGGGACUGAGACACGGCCCAGACUCCUACGGGAGGCAGCAGUGGGGAAUAUUGCACAAUGGGCGCAAGCCUGAUGCAGCGACGCCGCGUGAGUGAUGAAGUAUUUCGGUAUGUAAAGCUCUAUCAGCAGGGAAGAAAAUGACGGUACCUGACUAGGAAGCACCGGCUAAAUACGUGCCAGCAGCCGCGGUAAUACGUAUGGUGCAAGCGUUAUCCGGAUUUACUGGGUGUAAAGGGAGCGUAGGCGGCAUGGCAAGUCAGAUGUGAAAGCCCGGGGCCCAACCCCGGAACUGCAUUUGAAACUGUCAGGCUAGAGUACCGGAGAGGUAAGCGGAAUUCCUAGUGUAGCGGUGAAAUG